Molecule: ribosomal RNA, 1554 nt
Filed under: Salmonella enterica
Lineage: Bacteria; Pseudomonadati; Pseudomonadota; Gammaproteobacteria; Enterobacterales; Enterobacteriaceae
Description: bacterial SSU rRNA
Rfam family: Bacterial small subunit ribosomal RNA
Source: RNAcentral
AAAUUGAAGAGUUUGAUCAUGGCUCAGAUUGAACGCUGGCGGCAGGCCUAACACAUGCAAGUCGAACGGUAACAGGAAGCAGCUUGCUGCUUCGCUGACGAGUGGCGGACGGGUGAGUAAUGUCUGGGAAACUGCCUGAUGGAGGGGGAUAACUACUGGAAACGGUGGCUAAUACCGCAUAACGUCGCAAGACCAAAGAGGGGGACCUUCGGGCCUCUUGCCAUCAGAUGUGCCCAGAUGGGAUUAGCUUGUUGGUGAGGUAACGGCUCACCAAGGCGACGAUCCCUAGCUGGUCUGAGAGGAUGACCAGCCACACUGGAACUGAGACACGGUCCAGACUCCUACGGGAGGCAGCAGUGGGGAAUAUUGCACAAUGGGCGCAAGCCUGAUGCAGCCAUGCCGCGUGUAUGAAGAAGGCCUUCGGGUUGUAAAGUACUUUCAGCGGGGAGGAAGGUGUUGUGGUUAAUAACCACAGCAAUUGACGUUACCCGCAGAAGAAGCACCGGCUAACUCCGUGCCAGCAGCCGCGGUAAUACGGAGGGUGCAAGCGUUAAUCGGAAUUACUGGGCGUAAAGCGCACGCAGGCGGUCUGUCAAGUCGGAUGUGAAAUCCCCGGGCUCAACCUGGGAACUGCAUUCGAAACUGGCAGGCUUGAGUCUUGUAGAGGGGGGUAGAAUUCCAGGUGUAGCGGUGAAAUGCGUAGAGAUCUGGAGGAAUACCGGUGGCGAAGGCGGCCCCCUGGACAAAGACUGACGCUCAGGUGCGAAAGCGUGGGGAGCAAACAGGAUUAGAUACCCUGGUAGUCCACGCCGUAAACGAUGUCUACUUGGAGGUUGUGCCCUUGAGGCGUGGCUUCCGGAGCUAACGCGUUAAGUAGACCGCCUGGGGAGUACGGCCGCAAGGUUAAAACUCAAAUGAAUUGACGGGGGCCCGCACAAGCGGUGGAGCAUGUGGUUUAAUUCGAUGCAACGCGAAGAACCUUACCUGGUCUUGACAUCCACAGAACUUUCCAGAGAUGGACUGGUGCCUUCGGGAACUGUGAGACAGGUGCUGCAUGGCUGUCGUCAGCUCGUGUUGUGAAAUGUUGGGUUAAGUCCCGCAACGAGCGCAACCCUUAUCCUUUGUUGCCAGCGGUUAGGCCGGGAACUCAAAGGAGACUGCCAGUGAUAAACUGGAGGAAGGUGGGGAUGACGUCAAGUCAUCAUGGCCCUUACGACCAGGGCUACACACGUGCUACAAUGGCGCAUACAAAGAGAAGCGACCUCGCGAGAGCAAGCGGACCUCAUAAAGUGCGUCGUAGUCCGGAUUGGAGUCUGCAACUCGACUCCAUGAAGUCGGAAUCGCUAGUAAUCGUGGAUCAGAAUGCCACGGUGAAUACGUUCCCGGGCCUUGUACACACCGCCCGUCACACCAUGGGAGUGGGUUGCAAAAGAAGUAGGUAGCUUAACCUUCGGGAGGGCGCUUACCACUUUGUGAUUCAUGACUGGGGUGAAGUCGUAACAAGGUAACCGUAGGGGAACCUGCGGUUGGAUCACCUCCUUACCUUAAAGAAGC